RNAcentral lists this transfer RNA (74 nucleotides) under Pseudoflavonifractor capillosus. RNAcentral's name for it is "tRNA-Gly". It matches the Rfam family "tRNA". From Rfam's summary of the family: Transfer RNA (tRNA) molecules are approximately 80 nucleotides in length. RNAcentral also lists the same sequence under 9 other names. The record is from RNAcentral. Lineage: Bacteria; Bacillati; Bacillota; Clostridia; Eubacteriales; Oscillospiraceae.
GCGGGUGUAGUUCAAUGGUAGAAUGUCAGCUUCCCAAGCUGAACACGGGGGUUCGAUUCCCCUCACCCGCUCCA